GGAAGCGGCCGGGGGGGGCUCCCCCCCGAGGGGAAGGCGGGUUAUGGCUGUGCCGGUGCCCGACAAACCUCUGCCUGAGGUGGGGGAAAGAGGGCCGGGGGGAGCCGCCAGCUCCUGGGCUGGGUUCUGCAAGCGCUCGGAGAAACUAAGGAAACCGUCAUGGACGGCAGUUUGCUGCUCGGAAACCCCUUUACCCUUCCCAUCUCGAUUUGAGUAUCGAAGAUUCCCAUCAGUAGAGCCAACUGUAACUGACCAAUGGUUGUUUUCAAAUACGAAUAUUGGUAAGCUUAGAUAAUCAAAGGACUGAUCAUUAUAAAGGUUAAAUUUAAGAGCGAGCACAGUAUGCAUUUUUAUGUAAAGAGCUUAUGGAACAAUGCCCUGACAGAAAAAGUCUGUAAAAACUGAUGGAUUUUGAUACUAUCAUACUGAUGGAUUUGGAUCCAUCAAAUGCACACUGAUGGAUUUGGACACGCCUUUGGAGGAGCGAUCCCCCAUGUCCCCAGCGCUGCAAUAAACGAAGUGCCCGCUGCUUAACUUCA
Aquila chrysaetos chrysaetos is the source of this 539-nucleotide long non-coding RNA. RefSeq lists it as uncharacterized. NCBI's taxonomy places the organism in Eukaryota, Metazoa, Chordata, Aves, Accipitriformes, Accipitridae. The record is from RefSeq and is a predicted model, not a curated record. The transcript has 2 exons.